UAUAACCGGCGAUACCCGAAUGGGGAAACCCAGUGUGACUCGUCACACUAUCAUUAACUGAAUCCAUAGGUUAAUGAGGCGAACCGGGGGAACUGAAACAUCUAAGUACCCCGAGGAAAAGAAAUCAACCGAGAUUCCCCCAGUAGCGGCGAGCGAACGGGGAGGAGCCCAGAGCCUGAAUCAGCAUGUGUGUUAGUGGAAGCGUCUGGAAAGGCGCGCGAUACAGGGUGACAGCCCCGUACACAAAAGCGCAUGUGCUGUGAGCUCGAUGAGUAGGGCGGGACACGUGGUAUCCUGUCUGAAUAUGGGGGGACCAUCCUCCAAGGCUAAAUACUCCUGACUGACCGAUAGUGAACCAGUACCGUGAGGGAAAGGCGAAAAGAACCCCGGCGAGGGGAGUGAAAAAGAACCUGAAACCGUGUACGUACAAGCAGUGGGAGCACAGGUUUACCUGUGUGACUGCGUACCUUUUGUAUAAUGGGUCAGCGACUUAUAUUCUGUAGCAAGGUUAACCGAAUAGGGGAGCCGGAGGGAAACCGAGUCUUAAUUGGGCGUUAAGUUGCAGGGUAUAGACCCGAAACCCGGUGAUCUAGCCAUGGGCAGGUUGAAGGUUGGGUAACACUAACUGGAGGACCGAACCGACUAAUGUUGAAAAAUUAGCGGAUGACCUGUGGCUGGGGGUGAAAGGCCAAUCAAACCGGGAGAUAGCUGGUUCUCCCCGAAAGCUAUUUAGGUAGCGCCUCGUGAAUUCAUCUCCGGGGGUAGAGCACUGUUUCGGCUAGGGGGCCAUCCCGGCUUACCAACCCGAUGCAAACUGCGAAUACCGGAGAAUGUUAUCACGGGAGACACACGGCGGGUGCUAACGUCCGUCGUGAAGAGGGAAACAACCCAGACCGCCAGCUAAGGUCCCAAAGUCAUGGUUAAGUGGGAAACGAUGUGGGAAGGCCCAGACAGCCAGGAUGUUGGCUUAGAAGCAGCCAUCAUUUAAAGAAAGCGUAAUAGCUCACUGGUCGAGUCGGCCUGCGCGGAAGAUGUAACGGGGCUAAACCAUGCACCGAAGCUGCGGCAGCGACACUGUGUGUUGUUGGGUAGGGGAGCGUUCUGUAAGCCUGUGAAGGUGUGUCGUGAGGCAUGCUGGAGGUAUCAGAAGUGCGAAUGCUGACAUAAGUAACGAUAAAGCGGGUGAAAAGCCCGCUCGCCGGAAGACCAAGGGUUCCUGUCCAACGUUAAUCGGGGCAGGGUGAGUCGACCCCUAAGGCGAGGCCGAAAGGCGUAGUCGAUGGGAAACGGGUUAAUAUUCCCGUACUUGGUGUUACUGCGAAGGGGGGACGGAGAAGGCUAUGUUGGCCGGGCGACGGUUGUCCCGGUUUAAGCGUGUAGGUGUGUGUUCCAGGUAAAUCCGGUUCACUUUAACACUGAGGCGUGACGACGAGGCACUACGGUGCUGAAGCAACAAAUGCCCUGCUUCCAGGAAAAGCCUCUAAGCAUCAGGUAACAUCAAAUCGUACCCCAAACCGACACAGGUGGUCAGGUAGAGAAUACCAAGGCGCUUGAGAGAACUCGGGUGAAGGAACUAGGCAAAAUGGUGCCGUAACUUCGGGAGAAGGCACGCUGACACGUAGGUGAAGUGAUUUACUCAUGGAGCUGAAGUCAGUCGAAGAUACCAGCUGGCUGCAACUGUUUAUUAAAAACACAGCACUGUGCAAACACGAAAGUGGACGUAUACGGUGUGACGCCUGCCCGGUGCCGGAAGGUUAAUUGAUGGGGUCAGCGCAAGCGAAGCUCCUGAUCGAAGCCCCGGUAAACGGCGGCCGUAACUAUAACGGUCCUAAGGUAGCGAAAUUCCUUGUCGGGUAAGUUCCGACCUGCACGAAUGGCGUAAUGAUGGCCAGGCUGUCUCCACCCGAGACUCAGUGAAAUUGAACUCGCUGUGAAGAUGCAGUGUACCCGCGGCAAGACGGAAAGACCCCGUGAACCUUUACUAUAGCUUGACACUGAACAUUGAGCCUUGAUGUGUAGGAUAGGUGGGAGGCUUUGAAGUGUGGACGCCAGUCUGCAUGGAGCCGACCUUGAAAUACCACCCUUUAAUGUUUGAUGUUCUAACGUGGACCCGUUACCCGGGUUGCGGACAGUGUCUGGUGGGUAGUUUGACUGGGGCGGUCUCCUCCUAAAGAGUAACGGAGGAGCACGAAGGUUGGCUAAUCCUGGUCGGACAUCAGGAGGUUAGUGCAAUGGCAUAAGCCAGCUUGACUGCGAGCGUGACGGCGCGAGCAGGUGCGAAAGCAGGUCAUAGUGAUCCGGUGGUUCUGAAUGGAAGGGCCAUCGCUCAACGGAUAAAAGGUACUCCGGGGAUAACAGGCUGAUACCGCCCAAGAGUUCAUAUCGACGGCGGUGUUUGGCACCUCGAUGUCGGCUCAUCACAUCCUGGGGCUGAAGUAGGUCCCAAGGGUAUGGCUGUUCGCCAUUUAAAGUGGUACGCGAGCUGGGUUUAGAACGUCGUGAGACAGUUCGGUCCCUAUCUGCCGUGGGCGCUGGAGAACUGAGGGGGGCUGCUCCUAGUACGAGAGGACCGGAGUGGACGCAUCACUGGUGUUCGGGUUGUCAUGCCAAUGGCACUGCCCGGUAGCUAAAUGCGGAAGAGAUAAGUGCUGAAAGCAUCUAAGCACGAAACUUGCCCCGAG
This 2681-nucleotide ribosomal RNA is filed under the name Salmonella enterica subsp. enterica serovar Enteritidis. RNAcentral describes it as "partial 23S ribosomal RNA". It matches the Rfam family "Bacterial large subunit ribosomal RNA". Lineage: Bacteria; Pseudomonadati; Pseudomonadota; Gammaproteobacteria; Enterobacterales; Enterobacteriaceae. The record is from RNAcentral.